RNAcentral lists this ribosomal RNA (347 nucleotides) under uncultured microorganism. Its description in RNAcentral is "bacterial SSU rRNA". It matches the Rfam family "Archaeal small subunit ribosomal RNA", at positions 330 to 670 of the family's 1478-position model. The record is from RNAcentral.
GCGCACCAGGCGCGAAAACUUUACAAUGCGGGAAACCGUGAUAAGGGAACCUCGAGUGCUGGCGCAUAGCGUCGGCUGUCCAGAUGCCUAAAAGCAUCUGAUAGCAAGGGCCGGGCAAGACCGGUGCCAGCCGCCGCGGGUAACACCGGCGGCUCGAGUGGUGGCCACGUUUAUUGGGUCUAAAGCGUCCGGUAGCCGGCUCGGCAAGUCCCCUGGGAAAUCUGGCGGCUCAACCGUCAGGCGUCCAGAGGAUACUGGCUGGGGCUUGGGGACCCGGGAGAGGUGAGAGGUACCUCAGGGGUAGGGGUGAAAUCUUGUGAUCCCCUGAGGGACCGACCAGUGGCGAA